This 345-nucleotide ribosomal RNA is filed under the name uncultured archaeon. Its description in RNAcentral is "bacterial SSU rRNA". It matches the Rfam family "Archaeal small subunit ribosomal RNA", at positions 691 to 1035 of the family's 1478-position model. The record is from RNAcentral.
CCGACGGUGAGGGGUGAAGCCCUGGGGCGCAAACGGGAUUAGAUACCCCGGUAGUCCAGGGUGUAAACGCUGCGGGCUUGGUGUUGGGGGUCCUUUGAGGGCGCCCAGUGCCGGAGAGAAGUUGUUAAGCCUGCUGCUUGGGGAGUACGUCCGCAAGGAUGAAACUUAAAGGAAUUGGCGGGGGAGCACCGCAACGGGAGGAGCGUGCGGUUCAAUUGGAUUCAACACCGGACAACUCACCAGGAGCGACGGUUACAUGAAGGCCAGGCUGAUGACCUUGCCUGAUUUUCCGAGAGGUGGUGCAUGGCCGUCGUCAGUUCGUACCGUAAGGCGUUCUCUUAAGUG